ACCACCUGGGGAUCUUGUUAAAAUGCAGAUUCUGACUCAGAAGGUCUGGAGUUGGGCCUGAGAGUGUGCAUUUCUAACAAGCCCCUAGGAGAUGCCAG
RNAcentral lists this microRNA precursor (98 nucleotides) under Felis catus (domestic cat). RNAcentral's name for it is "mir-544 microRNA precursor family". It matches the Rfam family "mir-544 microRNA precursor family". Lineage: Eukaryota; Metazoa; Chordata; Mammalia; Carnivora; Felidae. The record is from Rfam by way of RNAcentral.